AAAAUUCUAUAAUAAAGUACUCUGUUUUUUAUAAGAUAAUACUACAAUUGUGAAUUAGUCAAAUAGAGGAUUAGAUAAAAAUUAAGCUAAAACUAUUAUAAUUUUUAUAAAUUUGUAUUUGAUGCAAUCAUAAAUAUUUGUGAAUGACUCGUAAUUCACCAUUAUAAUAGCAUUUAACAAAUAAAUUUUAUUUUAUUUUUUGAAUAAAAAUUUUAUUUCAUCUAUAAUAACAUGAGAAGUAUGAAUUUUUUGAAAUUCUAUAAGCUUUAGUGAUCUUUUAAGGUUGCUCCCGUUUCCACAAUUACGAAAGAGGAGGGAUGCUUUGUUCGUGCCUGAAAAAGUUUUGGGAAUCAACUUUUGUCUUUAUAUGCACCAACCUGUCGAAGUUAUUCUUAAAAUAUUUAAUGCCCCAAACCCUGGCUUCUGCAUAGCUUUCUUUGUCGUUGUUAAUUUUAUUAGCCCCGAUGUCAAGAUCUCUGUAAUUGCUAUAUGCUUCUCUUGGAGAUUUUGAAACGUAAGGAGUCAUGUAAUUGUAAACUCUCCCCAUCCAACUCAUGAACUUUUUAGAGUUUUUAUUUUCCUCUUCUUCCCAGUCCACCACGUAUAAGAUGCUGUAGAGAUUUCCAGCUCUAUGAGGAUAUGGAGAUUCAGUCUCAGAAAUCUCUUCCAUUUUGCCUCCAAAAGCCACAAAUACCAUACUUGCGAAUUUUGCUUCGUCCUCAUAAAACUUAGGCCACAAUCCUUGGAAUGCUGAUUCUGGAAUAAGUUGUUUUACAAAAUCCGAUUUUGCUUUGAAGAACGUUUUCGAAAGAACUGACUUUUGGCUUCUCUCGAGUAAAGUUUCUAAUGAUACUCCAACAGGACAUUGGGUAGCGCAAAGAUUAGAUUCAGCCCAACUCAUUUCAAAGCAAUCUUCUUUCACUAUUCCAAGUUGAGGGAAUUUUUCUUCCAUCAGCGGAACAAGCUCAUCGGUGCUUCCCAGAAAUAUGCCCGUAAAACUUGCUUGAACCGUCAUCUUUUCAUUUUCACUUGAAUUCACCCUUGAAAUGAUGAUGCUCGUAUGUAUUUCUUUGGGAAGCUUGUGUGCAAUAUACUGCCACUGGUGAACAAGCUUGGUCGCAUUUUGUUCUAACGUUUUGCUCACUGUAAAAACAGUAACAUUAGCUGGAACUGGCACUAAUUUCAGCUUCCAAGCAAGGACUAUCCCAAAGCUACCCCCACCACCUCCUCGAAUGGCCCAAAACAAAUCUUCUCCCAUGGAUUUUUUAUCAAGAAUUCUCCCUUCAACAUCAAUUAAACGAGCAUCGAUUACAUUAUCUGCACCAAGACCAUAUUUUCGAAACAAUACGCCAUAGCCUCCUCCACUCAAAUGUCCACCGACACCCACGGUGUGACCGAUACCAGCCGGAAAGGCAAGAGUUCUACUUUUCCGAGCAAUUUCGUAGUACAAUUCUCCAAUAGUUGCACCAGAUUCAACCCAUACCGUAGCUUUUUCAACGUUAACCUGAACCGAUCGAAGAUUCACCAAAUCGAUCACCACAAAAGGAACUUUAUAAGCGGUAGUAUAAGAAAGACCCUCAAAGUCAUGACCCCCACUUCGAGUCCUGACUUGCAGUCCAUGUUUUCUGCAACAAUAAACUGCGGCUUGGAUGUGGGAUGCAAGCAGUGGUGUUACAAUGGCCAAAGGUGUAGGCGUAGAUGGUGUUGUGAACCUCAAAUUUUGAGCAGAUGACUUCAAAACAGAGGAGUAUGAUGAAUUAUGUUGGGUGUAAACGAGUUUGGCAAAGGAAGAAGAGUUGUGAAAACGAAUGGAAAGGCAACGAAGAAAUUCCUCAGCAGGUUGAGCUGAAGCACUAAUUCUCCAUGACAAGGAGAGGAUAAUAAUAAGAAGAAAAGGAAACAUAUUUAAUUUAAUUUCUGGGUCUAUGUUAUGUGAACAUUGAAAUGUGUUGCAAGCAAUCACGUUAUUAAUAAUGCUAAGGUUGGUGGGCAGGGUCAUCUGCCAUAUAUGAAACCAAAAUUACGUUGAAGAAUCAACAACAGGCAAGGUCAACGCCAUGGCCGCCCAUUGUUUCAGCUGUCGUAUUUGACAUAAUUGCCAUUAGCUUUGCUCCAAGAGCCGAAUUCAAAUACGAAUCUGAUCCCAAUUGACAAUGAAGAUUUCUUGGAUAGUAGCAUCAUCUAUGUGAACAUCUAUCCAUUGCUCCACAAUAAUAAUUUAUUCAUUUAACAACUAUAACAGAAAUUUUUAAUUGCUUCAAAUAUAUAAAUGAUAAAUCUUAAAAUUAUAUAUUGAUUUUGAUUCAGUGUGAAAUGUGAUAAAUAAAUUUUAAUUUUAUAUAAUUAAUCUGUUCAAACAAAAAGCUGACUUCUACAUAGCUCCCUUUACUAUUGUUAAAGUCAUCAACUCCAUUGUUUAGAGGUUGUCAGCCGACCGAAAUUUUUUGCCCUCCACUUGCAGCAUAUACAGAGCAUCUUUGACUUUUCUUUGGAAAUGCUUGUAAUAGGUCAUGUAUGUAAACCCAUUUUUGGUCUCCCUAAAUUUUCUCCACGCUUAAUGUGGUCUUUUGGAUUGUUAUAAUCUGGAAAUUUCUUGCAUUAGAUUUCCUCAUAUAAAAUUGUAACAAAUUCAUUUUCUUAUUUUUUUUCGUCUCUUUCAAGGUGUGGGUUUUAUAUUUGUCAUUAAUUUUAACCUCAAGCACCAAAUUCGAAUAAUAAUAUAUUCUCUAAAGAUAUUAUCUAAUCUAUCGCUUGAUAAAUAUAAUCAACAAUCAUUUAAUCAAUUCACUUAAUUAAUUCAAUUUUGGUUAAUUUAAUUUUUCAAUUAAAUUAAUUAUAUUCUAAUUAUGAUAAUUUUGUGUAUAUAUUAAAUUAUAGUAUAAGAAUAAUCAGUUAAAUCAAACUGAUCAAUUUAAUCAUUUUCACAUCCAACACUAAACACUGUUAUCGAGAGGGUGCUACAAAUUGCGGAAUGAAAUGUGCUUGUAACUAGGAAUUAGGGAGUCAAAUAGCUUUGUUGAUACUCUCACUAAAGAUGGUAAAACAGCUGGACGUUUGGCGUAGCUUCAUGGUUUUAGACUUCACUUAAAACAUAUAUCAGUGUUAUUAAUGCUUCAAAUAAAAAUUCUAUAAUAAAGUACUCUGUUUUUUAUAAGAUAAUACUACAAUUGUGAAUUAGUCAAAUAGAGGAUUAGAUAAAAAUUAAGCUAAAACUAUUAUAAUUUUUAUAAAUUUGUAUUUGAUGCAAUCAUAAAUAUUUGUGAAUGACUCGUAAUUCACCAUUAUAAUAGCAUUUAACAAAUAAAUUUUAUUUUAUUUUUUGAAUAAAAAUUUUAUUUCAUCUAUAAUAACAUGAGAAGUAUGAAUUUUUUGAAAUUCUAUAAGCUUUAGUGAUCUUUUAAGGUUGCUCCCGUUUCCACAAUUACGAAAGAGGAGGGAUGCUUUGUUCGUGCCUGAAAAAGUUUUGGGAAUCAACUUUUGUCUUUAUAUGCACCAACCUGUCGAAGUUAUUCUUAAAAUAUUUAAUGCCCCAAACCCUGGCUUCUGCAUAGCUUUCUUUGUCGUUGUUAAUUUUAUUAGCCCCGAUGUCAAG
Molecule: long non-coding RNA, 3592 nt
Filed under: Gossypium barbadense (sea-island cotton)
Lineage: Eukaryota; Viridiplantae; Streptophyta; Magnoliopsida; Malvales; Malvaceae
Description: long non-coding RNA (GBAR_LNC022871)
Source: RNAcentral